Molecule: ribosomal RNA, 329 nt
Filed under: uncultured eukaryote
Lineage: Eukaryota
Description: partial 18S ribosomal RNA
Rfam family: Eukaryotic small subunit ribosomal RNA
Source: RNAcentral
CCCUUAGAUGUUCUGGGCCGCACGCGCGCUACACUGACGGAGGCAGCGAGCGUGUCCUUCGCCGGCAGGUGCGGGCAAUCUUGCGAGUCUCCGUCAUGCUGGGGAUAGAUGGUUGCAAUUGUCGAUCUUGAACGAGGAAUUCCUAGUAAGCGCGAGUCAUCAGCUCGCGCUGAUUACGUCCCUGCCCUUUGUACACACCGCCCGUCGCUACUACAGAGUGCCCGUGUCCAAGAAACGGUCGGACCUGUGCGGCCUCUCCGGGCGACCGGAGGGCCGUUACGGGGAAGACCCUUUAUUUGACGCGGGUCGAUGAAGUAAAAGUCGUAACA